RNAcentral lists this ribosomal RNA (402 nucleotides) under uncultured bacterium. Its description in RNAcentral is "partial 16S ribosomal RNA". It matches the Rfam family "Bacterial small subunit ribosomal RNA", at positions 30 to 526 of the family's 1533-position model. The record is from RNAcentral.
AUUGAACGCUGGCGGCAGGCCUAACACAUGCAAGUCGAGCGAGCGGCGGACGGGUGAGUAAUGUAUGGGGACUGCCCGAUAGAGGGGGAUAACUGCUGGAAACGGUAGCUAAUACCGCAUACUAUCGGAUAACCCAUAUGGGAUUAGCUAGUAGGUGAGGUAAUGGCUCACCUAGGCGACGAUCCCUAGCUGGUAUGAGAGGAUGAUCACCCACACUGGGACUGGGACACGGCCCAGACUCCUACGGAGGCAGCAGUGGGGAAUAUUGCACAAUGGGCGCAAGCCUGAAGCAGCCAGCCCGCGUGUAUGAUGAAGGCCUUCGGUUUGUAAAGUACUUUUGGCAGAGAAGCGGUAUCUGCAGAAGAAGCACCGGCGAACUACGUGCCAGCAGCGCGGUAAUAC